This 504-nucleotide ribosomal RNA is filed under the name uncultured bacterium. Its description in RNAcentral is "bacterial SSU rRNA". It matches the Rfam family "Bacterial small subunit ribosomal RNA", at positions 28 to 525 of the family's 1533-position model. The record is from RNAcentral.
GACGAACGCUGGCGGCGUGGAUUAGGCAUGCAAGUCGAACGGUAUCAUCCUUUCGGGGGUGAGAGAGUGGCGAACUGGUGAGUAACACGUAGGUUAUCUACCCUCAAGACGGGGACAACCCAGGGAAACUUGGGCUAAUACCGGAUGUGAGCAACUUUUAGUUGUUUGAAAGGUGGCGUAAGCUGUCGCUUGGGGAUGAGCCUGCGUCCUAUUAGUUAGUUGGUGAGGUAACGGCUCACCUAGGCAAUGAUAGGUAGGCGGCCUUAACGGGUGGUCGCCCACACUGGGAUUGAGAUACGGCCCAGACUCCUACGGGAGGCAGCAGUCGAGAAUAGUCUACAAUGGUCGGAAGACUGAUAGUGCGACGCCGCGUGAACGAUGAAUCCCUUCGGGGUGUAAAGUUCUUUUAUAUGUGAGCAGUGCUUCUUAUAUUAACAGUAUGGGGAGAGAGAUAUUAGCAUAUGAAUAAGCAACGGCUAACUCCGUGCCAGCAGCCGCGUAAUA